GGAAUAUUGGACAAUGGGCGAAAGCCUGAUCCAGCCAUGCCGCGUGUGUGAAGAAGGUCUUCGGAUUGUAAAGCACUUUAAGUUGGGAGGAAGGGCAGUACAUUAAUACUGUGCUGUUUUGACGUUACCGACAGAAUAAGCACCGGCUAACUCUGUGCCAGCAGCCGCGGUAAUACAGAGGGUGCAAGCGUUAAUCGGAAUUACUGGGCGUAAAGCGCGCGUAGGUGGUUCGUUAAGUUGGAUGUGAAAUCCCCGGGCUCAACCUGGGAACUGCAUUCAAAACUGUCGAGCUAGAGUAUGGUAGAGGGUGGUGGAAUUUCCUGUGUAGCGGUGAAAUGCGUAGAUAUAGGAAGGAACACCAGUGGCGAAGGCGACCACCUGGACUGAUACUGACACUGAGGUGCGAAAGCGUGGGGAGCAAACAGGAUUAGAUACCCGGG
RNAcentral lists this ribosomal RNA (440 nucleotides) under uncultured Pseudomonas sp. RNAcentral's name for it is "bacterial SSU rRNA". It matches the Rfam family "Bacterial small subunit ribosomal RNA", at positions 358 to 790 of the family's 1533-position model. Lineage: Bacteria; Pseudomonadati; Pseudomonadota; Gammaproteobacteria; Pseudomonadales; Pseudomonadaceae. The record is from RNAcentral.